Molecule: long non-coding RNA, 1194 nt
Organism: Crotalus tigris (Tiger rattlesnake)
Lineage: Eukaryota; Metazoa; Chordata; Lepidosauria; Squamata; Viperidae
Exons: 5
Source: RefSeq, a predicted model, not a curated record
CAAUACCUUAAUUUUUUUUGGUGUCAUUUUUCCAGGGUACCUACUUUCUCCAGUUGGAGUUGGUAUGACUUAGCUAAGGUACUUCUAGGGAAAAAAUACUUAUAGUACUACAUUACUGAAAAGUUCAGAGGAAUUAUAACUGGAGAUCUGCCAAAUUCUGCUUCCAGAAUUUACAACCAAUGUGGGUAACAAAGUUACUGGCUAAGAAAUCUGAAAAUUAUGUUUCCAAAACAUCUGGAGAACAGCAGGCUAUGCCUUGGAAUGGGCCACAGGACAGCAGAAGCAAAGGAUAGAGAGAAGCACCUGCUUGUUAAAUCUACUGCUCCCCCCCCCAAGCAUAGCUUUCUCAGUCUUAUUUUAAGCUUUAAGGCGGAACAUAAAGCUGAAAGGAAAUCAUGAGAUUCACCCUCUAAGAGGCCCUCUCUUUUUGAGUCUCAUCUAUCUGAAAGCCUAUAGGCUCCUAAAGUACAUGGACAAAAACCUGUCAAGCCUUGCCUGUCUAAGGAUUCAUCAGAGUUCGGAGUUUCUGCUUGCCAUAUAAUAAGAAGCUGUAUGUAAUACUGUGCUGGAAAAAGUGCUAAAUAAGACCAGACACUAAUUGGAAAAUGAAAGGAGCUGCCUGAAGAAUGUAUAUAGAAAACUUUCUUUAAGAAACUUGGAACAAAAUCUGAUUUGACGCUUAGACAAUAAAUGAGUCUGCACUAUUAUGCAUUUGCAAAAUGAAACUAAAGUACAGAUUUUAUGAAGGAUAUAGUCAACAUGACAGCUCUUAAAUGAGAUAAACAUUGAGGAUAAUGGAACUGUUUAUUGGAUUAGAUCUUAUUAGUAAAAAGGAAAGCAAGCAAAACAGAAACAUUAAGGUCUUCAUUAUUUGCUGUAUUCAUUCAUUCCUAAGAACAAAUAUUUCAAAAGGACUAAUUGCUGCUGCAACUAAUAUUGUUUGCUUUUAAAAGGAAGCAUGGAAUAGAACCGCUUCAUGAGUUGUUUUUUAAUAGUUUGAAAAAUAACACCAAAACAUUAAUGUAGACUGAAGGAGAGAAUUCUUGGCUGAAGAAAGGGAAGUUUAAUGUUCAAAGCAUAAGACUUAUUACAAUAUCUUUACCUUUUUUAAACAGACUUUAAAUAUGUGUGCUAUUUAUUCAUAAACAAUGUGGUUAAAAAAUAUUCCUAUACAUCUGAACUAGCACUUUUUUA